Molecule: ribosomal RNA, 451 nt
Filed under: uncultured bacterium
Lineage: Bacteria
Description: bacterial SSU rRNA
Rfam family: Bacterial small subunit ribosomal RNA
Source: RNAcentral
ACUCCUACGGGAGGCAGCAGUGGGGAAUAUUGCGCAAUGGGCGAAAGACCUGACGCAGCCACGCCGCGUGAGUGAUGAAGGCCCGAGGGUCGUAAAGCUCUGUCGGGAGGGAAGAAGUUCUGACGGUACCUCCCAAGAAAGCACCGGCUAACUCCGUGCCAGCAGCCGCGGUAAUACGGAGGGUGCAAGCGUUGCUCGGAAUCACUGGGCGUAAAGCGUACGCAGGCGGUUUGUCAGGUCGGAUGUGAAAGCCCGGGGCUCAACCCCGGAACUGCAUUCGAAACCGGCAGACUUGAGUACGGGAGAGGAGAGCGGAAUUCCUGGUGUAGAGGUGAAAUUCGUAGAUAUCAGGAGGAACACCCGUGGCGAAAGCGGCUCUCUGGCCCGAUACUGACGCUCAUGUACGAAAGCGUGGGGAGCAAACAGGAUUAGAUACCCUGGUAGCGACUGA